Molecule: microRNA precursor, 61 nt
Filed under: Pristionchus pacificus
Lineage: Eukaryota; Metazoa; Nematoda; Chromadorea; Rhabditida; Neodiplogasteridae
Description: mir-8364 microRNA precursor family
Rfam family: mir-8364 microRNA precursor family
Source: Rfam by way of RNAcentral
UCUUCAUUUCGUGUGCUCUCUCGUCGCUCUGACCUGUGAGAAAGUGUGCGAAAUGAAGAGA